GGGGCUGAUUAGGAUUCGACGGGAUAUAUAAAGCUCAAGGUGCAUGCCGAGGUGAGGCUGGCCUCGUAAAAAGCCUCAAACUUAUAGUUGCAAACGACGACAACUACGCUUUAGCGGCUUAAUCCCCGCUAACCAUCCACCCGCGCUUUGUCUGUAAGACGGGAUUCGGAUGGUCAUCUUUACAGACUCGCGUGGCGGCUUCGUCCGGAGCCAAGACGUUAAAACCAAUCGGACUCGCGUUUGAAAAGCCUGCCCCUCGGCGCUUCAAACGUUAACUAAAAGAGACGGCUAAGCAUGUAGGACCGAGGGUGGCGAUAUUGCGGACGCGGGUUCAAAUCCCGCCAGCUCCACCA
RNAcentral lists this transfer-messenger RNA (353 nucleotides) under Aliidiomarina haloalkalitolerans. Its description in RNAcentral is "Standard tmRNA". It matches the Rfam family "transfer-messenger RNA". From Rfam's summary of the family: Bacterial tmRNA, also known as 10Sa RNA or SsrA, is named for its dual tRNA and mRNA-like properties. Its role is to liberate the mRNA from a stalled ribosome. To accomplish this part of the tmRNA is used as a reading frame that ends in a translation stop signal. The record is from Rfam by way of RNAcentral. Lineage: Bacteria; Pseudomonadati; Pseudomonadota; Gammaproteobacteria; Alteromonadales; Idiomarinaceae.